RNAcentral lists this ribosomal RNA (473 nucleotides) under uncultured bacterium. RNAcentral's name for it is "bacterial SSU rRNA". It matches the Rfam family "Bacterial small subunit ribosomal RNA", at positions 28 to 514 of the family's 1533-position model. The record is from RNAcentral.
GAUGAACGCUGACAGAAUGCUUAACACAUGCAAGUCGACUGGAAUUCACCUUCGGGUGAUAGUACGGUGGCGGACGGGUGAGUAACGCGUAAAGAACUUGCCCUCUAGACUGGGACAACUGUUGGAAACGACAGCUAAUACCGGAUAUUAUGAGACCUCGGCAUCAAGGACUUAUGAAAGCUAUAUGAGCUGGAGGAGAACUUUGCGUCCCGUUAGGUAGUUGGUAGGGUAAUGGCCUACCAAGCCGACGAUGGCUAGCCGGCCUGAGAGGGUGAUCGGCCACAAGGGGACUGAGACACGGCCCUUACUCCUACGGGAGGCAGCAGUGGGGAAUAUUGGACAAUGGACCAAAAGUCUGAUCCAGCAAUUCUGUGUGCACGAUGGAGGUCUUCGGAUUGUAAAGUGCUUUCAGGUGGGAAGAAGAAAGUGACGGUACCACCAGAAGAAGCGACGGCUAAAAUACGUGCCAGCCG